Unclassified non-coding RNA from Papio anubis (olive baboon), 117 nucleotides. It matches the Rfam family "Metazoan signal recognition particle RNA". From Rfam's summary of the family: The signal recognition particle (SRP) is a universally conserved ribonucleoprotein. It is involved in the co-translational targeting of proteins to membranes. The record is from Ensembl. NCBI's taxonomy places the organism in Eukaryota, Metazoa, Chordata, Mammalia, Primates, Cercopithecidae.
GCUGGGCGUGGUGACUCACGCCUGUAAUCCCAGCACAUUGGGAGGCUGAGGCAGGUGGAUCACCUGAGGUCAGGAGUUCCAGACGAGCCUGGCCAACAUGGCGAAACCCUGUCUCUA